CGGACGGGUGAGUAAUGCCUAGGAAUCUGCCUGGUAGUGGGGGACAACGUUUCGAAAGGAACGCUAAUACCGCAUACGUACUACGGGAGAAAGCAGGGGACCUUCGGGCCUUGCGCUAUCAGAUGAGCCUAGGUCGGAUUAGCUAGUUGGUGAGGUAAUGGCUCACCAAGGCGACGAUCCGUAACUGGUCUGAGAGGAUGAUCAGUCACACUGGAACUGAGACACGGUCCAGACUCCUACGGGAGGCAGCAGCC
This 254-nucleotide ribosomal RNA is filed under the name uncultured Pseudomonas sp. RNAcentral describes it as "partial 16S ribosomal RNA". It matches the Rfam family "Bacterial small subunit ribosomal RNA", at positions 99 to 355 of the family's 1533-position model. Lineage: Bacteria; Pseudomonadati; Pseudomonadota; Gammaproteobacteria; Pseudomonadales; Pseudomonadaceae. The record is from RNAcentral.